AGAGAGCAGAAUACUGACAAGGCUCCUCUGGGACCUAGAUGUCCUGGGCACCUCUCCGACCUCCGGGGAGUUCUGGGCGUGCUGCAUCAAGUUUCUCCAGAUGUCUACCUUUCCGCUUUUGGGGAGUCGUAAGAUUCAAUCUUCUGGGAAAACUUGAGGUCGAGGGAUUUUGUGCGGGUGCUGACUCCACGGCCUUAGCCACAGUUUUCUGGGAAGCCCUUACACAGGCCCUGAACAAGGACCAGAUAAGAGUUCUGCCCUGCGAAAACAAAAGUACUCAAACUGGGCUGCGAGGUGUAGCUGUAGGAUGAUUUUUUUUCAACCAUCUUACGGAUUAGGAAAAUUGAUGACAUGGAGAAAUUCUCAUUGCAUUUUUUAAAUGGAAACAAACAAACAAACAAAAACCCGAAACCCUCAUGUGCAAAACCACGUUGAAAGUCUGAACUUACCUCUGAAAAUAUAAAAACAGCACUUGAAAACCAAGAGAUACCUGGGUAGCAGAAUGCUUGCCUAGCAGAUAGGAAGCCCUGGGUUGAAGCCUUUGUACCACAUAAACUGUGUGGGACAGCACACACCUGUGAUCUCAACACUUGGAAGGUAGAGGCAAAAAAUUAGAAGAUCAAGUUUAUUCACAACAUCCUCGGAGACAGCAAGUUCCAGGCCAGCCUCGGCUACGUGAGACUAGAGGAGGAGACAUUUUACAACAGCAGCGAUGCUAGAAAUACGCAUAAUAGUUUUCUCUAUAGUACCCUACAGCCUGGAUGUGGUUAUUUUAAAAACACUACAUUUUGAAGUUUGAAUUCAGUAGAAUGUUUUUGUCUAAUAAAAUGUCACUAAAAUUAAAUCUCUCCCUCCCUCCUUCCUCCUCCCUCCCUUCUCCCUCCUCACCAGAGAAGGAAUCCAUCCCCAUUGAGGAGCAAGGCUAUCUCUCUGAGAUGACCCUGCUAGGUGACUGCAUAUAUUUAUCUGUGCUUAUCUCUGUCUCUCUUAUCUGAACCAAACGCCAUGGGAACAGGGACGGUGGCUGUUUUUAUUUCUACUGAUGAUUCAGGUCUAGCACAAUGCCUCGUGGAGAACGAUGAAUAUUGUCUAAUGUUUGUAAAAUGAAUGAUGUGUCUAUUUUUUUUUUGCUUUACUUUUUGUUUGUGAAAUUUAUCAUUGUUUUGGCAUGUUAUGUUGGUGCAAAAUGCAAAGUGAGGACAGUUCAUUCUUUUAGAAUUAUUUUUUUCAUUCUUAAAUGAUGUGUAUUAUGGGAAUCUCUUUGUGGUAUGUGCAACAUGGGCUGUGGCAUUCGUGUGUCCCCCGUUCCCCACAAAUAAAAUAAAUUAAAU
This 1331-nucleotide long non-coding RNA is filed under the name Mus musculus (house mouse). RNAcentral's name for it is "long non-coding RNA chr18:53418198-53419529". Lineage: Eukaryota; Metazoa; Chordata; Mammalia; Rodentia; Muridae. The record is from RNAcentral.